This 315-nucleotide ribosomal RNA is filed under the name Triticum aestivum (bread wheat). RNAcentral describes it as "partial small subunit ribosomal RNA". The record is from RNAcentral. Lineage: Eukaryota; Viridiplantae; Streptophyta; Magnoliopsida; Poales; Poaceae.
AAUGCCAGUCUCCGAGAACAAUAUCCAAUCUUGUACAACAUUGCUCAUGACAAGAAAAAUACUAUUGUGCAGGUGCUCAAUUCAUCGCCGUCGAGUAUUUUGUUUAGGUGGGAUUUGAUUGGCCCCCAACUUGUGGCAUGGCAUAACCUUUUAUUCCGGCUAGAUUCGAUUAACCUGAUACAAGGCCGAGAUGUGUUUCACUAAAACCUUACUAUAUCAAGAUCUUCCACUAUAAACUUUAUGUACAAUGCGCUCACUCAUUCGGAGGGACCAGUGACUAAUAGCAAGAAAAUUUUGAAGUCAAGAUUUCAUUAA